This 432-nucleotide ribosomal RNA is filed under the name uncultured bacterium. Its description in RNAcentral is "partial 16S ribosomal RNA". It matches the Rfam family "Bacterial small subunit ribosomal RNA", at positions 338 to 795 of the family's 1533-position model. The record is from RNAcentral.
CCUACGGGAGGCUGCAGUGGGGAAUAUUGGACAAUGGGCGCAAGCCUGAUCCAGCCAUGCCGCGUGAGUGAUGAAGGCCUUAGGGUUGUAAAGCUCUUUUAGCAGGGAAGCGGUACCUGCAGAAAAAGCCCCGGCUAACUUCGUGCCAGCAGCCGCGGUAAUACGAAGGGGGCUAGCGUUGCUCGGAAUUACUGGGCGUAAAGCGCACGUAGGCGGCUUUCUAAGUCAGGGGUGAAAUCCUGGAGCUCAACUCCAGAACUGCCUUUGAUACUGGGAGGCUCGAGUCCGGGAGAGGUGAGUGGAACUGCGAGUGUAGAGGUGAAAUUCGUAGAUAUUCGCAAGAACACCAGUGGCGAAGGCGGCUCACUGGCCCGGACUGACGCUGAGGUGCGAAAGCGUGGGGAGCAAACAGGAUUAGAUACCCUUGUAGUC